RNAcentral lists this ribosomal RNA (424 nucleotides) under uncultured prokaryote. RNAcentral describes it as "bacterial SSU rRNA". It matches the Rfam family "Bacterial small subunit ribosomal RNA", at positions 355 to 776 of the family's 1533-position model. RNAcentral also lists the same sequence under 1 other name. The record is from RNAcentral.
UGAGGAAUAUUGGUCAAUGGGCGCAAGCCUGAACCAGCCAUCCCGCGUGAAGGAAGAAGGCGCUAUGCGUUGUAAACUUCUUUUCCAGGGGAAUAAAAUUUUGUACGUGUACGGAAUUGAAGGUACCCUGGGAAUAAGCAUCGGCUAACUCCGUGCCAGCAGCCGCGGUAAUACGGAGGAUGCAAGCGUUAUCCGGAUUUAUUGGGUUUAAAGGGUGCGCAGGCGGGAAAAUAAGUCAGUGGUGAAAUCCUGCAGCUUAACUGUAGAAUUGCCGUUGAUACUGUUUUUCUUGAGUGUGGUCAAGGAAGGCGGAAUGUGUAAUGUAGCGGUGAAAUGCUUAGAUAUUACACAGAACACCAAUUGCGAAGGCAGCUUUCUGGGCCGUAACUGACGCUCAUGCACGAAAGCGUGGGGAUCGAACAGG